GUCGCACGAGAAAGUCCCAGCUUGCUGGGGCGAGUACAGUGGCGCACGGGUGAGUAACGCGUGGGUAAUCUACCUCCGAAUUGGGAAUAACACUGCGAAAGCGGUGCAAUACCGAAUGACAUCCCCGGGACUCCGGUCUUGGUGAUCAAAGGUGGCCUCUACAUGUAAGCUACCGUUUGGAGAUGAGCCCGCGUACCAUUAGCUUGUUGGUAGGGUAACGGCCUACCAAGGCUGCGAUGGUUAGCUGGUCUGAGAGGAUGAUCAGCCACACUGGAACUGACACACGGUCCAGACUCCUACGGGAGGCAGCAGUGAGGAAUUUUGCGCAAUGGGGGAAACCCUGACGCAGCAACGCCGCGUGAGUGAUGAAGGCCUUCGGGUCGUAAAGCUCUGUCAAGUGGGAAGAAACUGCUUC
This 415-nucleotide ribosomal RNA is filed under the name uncultured Desulfobacterium sp. RNAcentral describes it as "bacterial SSU rRNA". It matches the Rfam family "Bacterial small subunit ribosomal RNA", at positions 61 to 457 of the family's 1533-position model. The record is from RNAcentral. Lineage: Bacteria; Pseudomonadati; Thermodesulfobacteriota; Desulfobacteria; Desulfobacterales; Desulfobacteriaceae.